Molecule: ribosomal RNA, 468 nt
Filed under: uncultured bacterium
Lineage: Bacteria
Description: partial 16S ribosomal RNA
Rfam family: Bacterial small subunit ribosomal RNA
Source: RNAcentral
GACGAACGCUGGCGGCGUGCUUAACACAUGCAAGUCGAACGGAAAGGCCCUGCUUUUGUGGGGUGCUCGAGUGGCGAACGGGUGAGUAACACGUGAGUAACCUGCCCUUGACUUUGGGAUAACUUCAGGAAACUGGGGCUAAUACCGGAUAGGAGCUCCUGCUGCAUGGUGGGGGUUGGAAAGUUUCGGCGGUUGGGGAUGGACUCGCGGCUUAUCAGCUUGUUGGUGGGGUAGUGGCUUACCAAGGCUUUGACGGGUAGCCGGCCUGAGAGGGUGACCGGCGACAUUGGGACUGAGAUACGGCCCAGACUCCUACGGGAGGCAGCAGUGGGGAAUAUUGCACAAUGGGCGGAAGCCUGAUGCAGCAACGCCGCGUGCGGGAUGAUGGCCUUCGGGUUGUAAACCGCUUUCGCCUUUGACGAAGCGUGAGUGACGGUAAUGGGUAAAGAAGCACCGGCUAACUACGUG